This 2773-nucleotide ribosomal RNA is filed under the name Escherichia coli. Its description in RNAcentral is "bacterial LSU rRNA". It matches the Rfam family "Bacterial large subunit ribosomal RNA". The record is from RNAcentral. Lineage: Bacteria; Pseudomonadati; Pseudomonadota; Gammaproteobacteria; Enterobacterales; Enterobacteriaceae.
AGCGUACACGGUGGAUGCCCUGGCAGUCAGAGGCGAUGAAGGACGUGCUAAUCUGCGAUAAGCGUCGGUAAGGUGAUAUGAACCGUUAUAACCGGCGAUUUCCGAAUGGGGAAACCCAGUGUGUUUCGACACACUAUCAUUAACUGAAUCCAUAGGUUAAUGAGGCGAACCGGGGGAACUGAAACAUCUAAGUACCCCGAGGAAAAGAAAUCAACCGAGAUUCCCCCAGUAGCGGCGAGCGAACGGGGAGCAGCCCAGAGCCUGAAUCAGUGUGUGUGUUAGUGGAAGCGUCUGGAAAGGCGCGCGAUACAGGGUGACAGCCCCGUACACAAAAAUGCACAUGCUGUGAGCUCGAUGAGUAGGGCGGGACACGUGGUAUCCUGUCUGAAUAUGGGGGGACCAUCCUCCAAGGCUAAAUACUCCUGACUGACCGAUAGUGAACCAGUACCGUGAGGGAAAGGCGAAAAGAACCCCGGCGAGGGGAGUGAAAAAGAACCUGAAACCGUGUACGUACAAGCAGUGGGAGCACGCUUAGGCGUGUGACUGCGUACCUUUUGUAUAAUGGGUCAGCGACUUAUAUUCUGUAGCAAGGUUAACCGAAUAGGGGAGCCGAAGGGAAACCGAGUCUUAACUGGGCGUUAAGUUGCAGGGUAUAGACCCGAAACCCGGUGAUCUAGCCAUGGGCAGGUUGAAGGUUGGGUAACACUAACUGGAGGACCGAACCGACUAAUGUUGAAAAAUUAGCGGAUGACUUGUGGCUGGGGGUGAAAGGCCAAUCAAACCGGGAGAUAGCUGGUUCUCCCCGAAAGCUAUUUAGGUAGCGCCUCGUGAAUUCAUCUCCGGGGGUAGAGCACUGUUUCGGCAAGGGGGUCAUCCCGACUUACCAACCCGAUGCAAACUGCGAAUACCGGAGAAUGUUAUCACGGGAGACACACGGCGGGUGCUAACGUCCGUCGUGAAGAGGGAAACAACCCAGACCGCCAGCUAAGGUCCCAAAGUCAUGGUUAAGUGGGAAACGAUGUGGGAAGGCCCAGACAGCCAGGAUGUUGGCUUAGAAGCAGCCAUCAUUUAAAGAAAGCGUAAUAGCUCACUGGUCGAGUCGGCCUGCGCGGAAGAUGUAACGGGGCUAAACCAUGCACCGAAGCUGCGGCAGCGACGCUUAUGCGUUGUUGGGUAGGGGAGCGUUCUGUAAGCCUGUGAAGGUGUGCUGUGAGGCAUGCUGGAGGUAUCAGAAGUGCGAAUGCUGACAUAAGUAACGAUAAAGCGGGUGAAAAGCCCGCUCGCCGGAAGACCAAGGGUUCCUGUCCAACGUUAAUCGGGGCAGGGUGAGUCGACCCCUAAGGCGAGGCCGAAAGGCGUAGUCGAUGGGAAACAGGUUAAUAUUCCUGUACUUGGUGUUACUGCGAAGGGGGGACGGAGAAGGCUAUGUUGGCCGGGCGACGGUUGUCCCGGUUUAAGCGUGUAGGCUGGUUUUCCAGGCAAAUCCGGAAAAUCAAGGCUGAGGCGUGAUGACGAGGCACUACGGUGCUGAAGCAACAAAUGCCCUGCUUCCAGGAAAAGCCUCUAAGCAUCAGGUAACAUCAAAUCGUACCCCAAACCGACACAGGUGGUCAGGUAGAGAAUACCAAGGCGCUUGAGAGAACUCGGGUGAAGGAACUAGGCAAAAUGGUGCCGUAACUUCGGGAGAAGGCACGCUGAUAUGUAGGUGAAGUCCCUUGCGGAUGGAGCUGAAAUCAGUCGAAGAUACCAGCUGGCUGCAACUGUUUAUUAAAAACACAGCACUGUGCAAACACGAAAGUGGACGUAUACGGUGUGACGCCUGCCCGGUGCCGGAAGGUUAAUUGAUGGGGUCAGCGCAAGCGAAGCUCUUGAUCGAAGCCCCGGUAAACGGCGGCCGUAACUAUAACGGUCCUAAGGUAGCGAAAUUCCUUGUCGGGUAAGUUCCGACCUGCACGAAUGGCGUAAUGAUGGCCAGGCUGUCUCCACCCGAGACUCAGUGAAAUUGAACUCGCUGUGAAGAUGCAGUGUACCCGCGGCAAGACGGAAAGACCCCGUGAACCUUUACUAUAGCUUGACACUGAACAUUGAGCCUUGAUGUGUAGGAUAGGUGGGAGGCUUAGAAGUGUGGACGCCAGUCUGCAUGGAGCCGACCUUGAAAUACCACCCUUUAAUGUUUGAUGUUCUAACGUUGACCCGUAAUCCGGGUUGCGGACAGUGUCUGGUGGGUAGUUUGACUGGGGCGGUCUCCUCCUAAAGAGUAACGGAGGAGCACGAAGGUUGGCUAAUCCUGGUCGGACAUCAGGAGGUUAGUGCAAUGGCAUAAGCCAGCUUGACUGCGAGCGUGACGGCGCGAGCAGGUGCGAAAGCAGGUCAUAGUGAUCCGGUGGUUCUGAAUGGAAGGGCCAUCGCUCAACGGAUAAAAGGUACUCCGGGGAUAACAGGCUGAUACCGCCCAAGAGUUCAUAUCGACGGCGGUGUUUGGCACCUCGAUGUCGGCUCAUCACAUCCUGGGGCUGAAGUAGGUCCCAAGGGUAUGGCUGUUCGCCAUUUAAAGUGGUACGCGAGCUGGGUUUAGAACGUCGUGAGACAGUUCGGUCCCUAUCUGCCGUGGGCGCUGGAGAACUGAGGGGGGCUGCUCCUAGUACGAGAGGACCGGAGUGGACGCAUCACUGGUGUUCGGGUUGUCAUGCCAAUGGCACUGCCCGGUAGCUAAAUGCGGAAGAGAUAAGUGCUGAAAGCAUCUAAGCACGAAACUUGCCCCGAGAUGAGUUCU